UUGGGCUGGAAGGCACCUUUAAAGGUUAUCUAGUCCAACCUCCCUGCAAUAAGCAGGGCAUCUUCAACUAGACCAGGUUGUUCAGAGCCCUUGAAUAUUUCCAGACAUGGGCCAUCCACAACUUCUCUGACCAACAUGUUUCAGUGUUUUACCACUCCCACUGUAAAAAAAAAUUUCUUUAUAUCUAAUCUAAACCAAAUCUCCUUUAGUUUUAAACCAUUGUUCUCGUUCUAUUGCAACAUAUCCUACUAAAAGGUUUGUUGUCAUCUUUUUUACAGGUCCCCUUUAGGUACCAGAAAGUUGCUGUGAGGUCUCCCUGGAGCCUUCUCUUCUCCACGCUGAACAGUCCCAAAUCUCUCACCCUGUCUUCACAGGAGAAGUGCUCCAGCCCUCUGAUUGCCUUUGUGGCCUCCUCCGGACUCAUUCCAACAGGUCCAUGGACUCAGGAGUCCAGGAGAGGUGCAUGA
This 467-nucleotide long non-coding RNA is filed under the name Junco hyemalis (dark-eyed junco). Its description in RNAcentral is "lncRNA (ENSJHYG00000015953.1)". The record is from RNAcentral. Lineage: Eukaryota; Metazoa; Chordata; Aves; Passeriformes; Passerellidae.